RNAcentral lists this transfer RNA (72 nucleotides) under Bodianus oxycephalus. RNAcentral's name for it is "tRNA-Thr". It matches the Rfam family "tRNA". From Rfam's summary of the family: Transfer RNA (tRNA) molecules are approximately 80 nucleotides in length. Their secondary structure includes four short double-helical elements and three loops (D, anti-codon, and T loops). Further hydrogen bonds mediate the characteristic L-shaped molecular structure. tRNAs have two regions of fundamental functional importance: the anti-codon, which is responsible for specific mRNA codon recognition, and the 3' end, to which the tRNAs corresponding amino acid is attached (by aminoacyl-tRNA synthetases). tRNAs cope with the degeneracy of the genetic code in two manners: having more than one tRNA (with a specific anti-codon) for a particular amino acid; and 'wobble' base-pairing, i.e. permitting non-standard base-pairing at the 3rd anti-codon position. The record is from RNAcentral. Lineage: Eukaryota; Metazoa; Chordata; Actinopteri; Labriformes; Labridae.
GCAUUAGUAGCUCAACGUCAGAGCACCGGUCUUGUAAACCGGCAGGUGGAGGUUUAAAUCCUCCCUAUUGCU